This is a long non-coding RNA of Callithrix jacchus (white-tufted-ear marmoset), 932 nucleotides long. RefSeq lists it as uncharacterized. The record is from RefSeq and is a predicted model, not a curated record. Lineage: Eukaryota; Metazoa; Chordata; Mammalia; Primates; Cebidae.
UACACAUUAGUCUAAAGUGGAUUUUGUUGGGUCUUCUUAUCUAAGCUGGAAAUACAUUAUGCAUAAUUCACUUUCCUGCAGCGUUCUGGAUUAGAGUCAGCCACCAGAGGCGUGCAUGCAUUACGAUUUGGAAGGCAGAAGUACACCGGCACUUAUUUUCCUGUCACACUCGAAUGCUGGUGCGAGGCACCAGGCAUACUGCGGCUGUUCAAGCAUAUUGACGCCGAUAUUCUGACUCCUUGUGGAAAUGGAGCCGCAUCCUGCCUUGCAGAGCAUCAGCCAGAUCUUGUUUUUUUACUUUCUCGGAAUCAUGCAGGCAGGUGCGGCUGCUGGAGCAGGGAAUGGGCCUGCCGUUUAUUUAGCCCCUAUCAGCUUCCUAGCUCCAGCUGCUCUAAUUGCAGGGCUAGGCGUAUGUUUAGCUCUAUGGCAAGAGCCUCCAGCUUCUCCUGCAUAUCUCAAACCUCAUCAAAAGCUGGCAGCUUGGAGGUAGUGAGACACAGAGGAGAGAUCCAGUUCAUCAAGAAUAUUUCUACAAGUACCCUAUCCAUAAGAGAGACGGUGGAUACUCCAUCUGCAGGUUUCCAGCCUUAUGCCUCUGUGUGUAGAAUUGAGACUCCCAGAACUGUGACUCUCUUUGUCUCAGAGCUUUUCCCAAACAUUAGUGUUUGUGCUCCAAAAGGGACAGGCCAACAAAUUAACACUUAGCACCCCCAUCCCUAAACCAAGACUGACAGAAGUUGAUAUGUAAUUUCCUCAAUUUAUUGGUAAUUAUAGUCAUAUAACAUUGAGCCAGGUGUUUUAAACACUUUUCCAGGCAGAAUUAAGCCUUAGUCACUUGCAGCUGUAAUUAGCUUGAUAACACACCUAUCCUUACAUUUCCUUACUCCUAUAUCAGCUUUUGUUAUACUUUUCAAAUAAAAUACCUGAGCUAG